This 292-nucleotide ribosomal RNA is filed under the name uncultured bacterium. RNAcentral describes it as "partial 16S ribosomal RNA". It matches the Rfam family "Bacterial small subunit ribosomal RNA", at positions 505 to 796 of the family's 1533-position model. The record is from RNAcentral.
GUGCCAGCAGCCGCGGUAACACGUAGGAUCCGAGCGUUAUCCGAAUUCACUGGGCGUAAAGCGCUUGCAGGCGGCUGGAUAAGUUGGAUGUGAAAUCUUCUGGCUCAACUGGGAGAGGCCGUUCAAGACUGUUCAGCUAGAGGGCAAUAGAGGGAGGUGGAAUUCCAGGUGUAGUGGUGAAAUGCGUAGAUAUCUGGAGGAACACCAGUGGCGAAAGCGGCCUCCUGGAUUGCAUCUGACGCUCAGAAGCGAAAGCUAGGGGAGCGAACGGGAUUAGAUACCCUAGUAGUCC